CUUGUCUCACAGGGAUCAUUGAUCAUUGCCUGUGAAGAAAUAAUCUUUGUGGACAAGGUGCCUUUUUCCAUAAUUUUUUCUUAUAACCAGCCCUUCUCAUCCAAAGGCCACAAUGAAGUCGAAGAAACCUAUAGAUGACAGCUUUCACAAUCCUUCUCUUGCCUUUUCCUGUACUGACGUAUGUUAGAGAUCUGGCUGGCAGCUUCAAGACACUUGGAAGCAAGAGGGCCACUCUAUUAAGGAUCGCUGAAGUAUGCCCACAUGUCAGGUUUCUCUCAGAUGUGGUAUCAAAACAUCAUUAUGGGCCGGGCACGGUGGCUUACGCCUGUAAUCCCAGCACUUUGGGAGGCUGAGGCAGGCAUAUGAAGAGGUCAAGAGAUCGAGAUCAUCCCGGCCAACAUGAAAUAACAAGAAAGUUAGAAAGUCUUCUGCCUCCCAUCAGAAAAUGAGCUCAAGUGUUGUAUCCAUUGAAAAUGACAUCUGAUGCUAAUCAUCUCUGAGUGAACCCUACAUCUUACAGUAAAUUGCAUAUUGCAAUAAAAAGUGAUCUCUCAUGGUUCUUGAAUUAUUUUUCAUCAUGUUUAGUGCAAUACUGUAAAUCUUGAACAUCACCAUGGGACCCAUAUGAAAUGUCACUAGUGAUGCUGGAAGUGCUCCCAAGAAGCAGAGAAAAAUCAUUACAAAAAAAAGCUGACUUGCUUGAUAUGUACCGUAGAUUGAGGUCUGCAGCUGUGGUUGCCCACCAUUUCAAGAUAGAUGAAUCCAGUGUAAGGACCAUUGUGGUUGGGGGAGGACUUUGUGGAGCCAUCACUGCAGCUACGACAGCAGGCAUGAAAACCUUGAAGUUUCUGUAAAAUAUCUUUUUAUCUUAUAUUUAAAAUACAAUGUGAGUACAGAAUUGCUAUAAGAAAGGCAUACUCUAGUAAGACUUGAAGUCAUUAUAUGACAACUUAAAGCAAAAGGAAGGUGAAGGAUUUAAAGCUGGAGAAUUUAAUGUCAGCAAAGGAUGGCUUGACAUUUUUAGAAAGAGGUUUGGCUUCAAAAAAUGGAUAAG
RNAcentral lists this long non-coding RNA (1054 nucleotides) under Homo sapiens (human). RNAcentral's name for it is "HSALNT0358488". The record is from RNAcentral. Lineage: Eukaryota; Metazoa; Chordata; Mammalia; Primates; Hominidae.